CACGUAGGGGGCAAGCGUUGUCCGGAUUUAUUGGGCGUAAAGAGCUCGUAGGCGGUUCGGUAAGUCGGGUGUGAAACCUCCAGGCUCAACCUGGAGAGGCCACCUGAUACUGCUGUGACUCGAGUCCGGUAGGGGAGCGUGGAAUUCCUGGUGUAGCGGUGAAAUGCGCAGAUAUCAGGAGGAACACCAGCGGCGAAGGCGGCGCUCUGGGCCGGAACUGACGCUGAGGAGCGAAAGCGUGGGGAGCAAACAGG
Molecule: ribosomal RNA, 254 nt
Filed under: uncultured bacterium
Lineage: Bacteria
Description: partial 16S ribosomal RNA
Rfam family: Bacterial small subunit ribosomal RNA
Source: RNAcentral